UAUUACUGAACUGCAAGUUUCUUGUCUCUGCCAUCUUUUCUACCUGUCCUGUUAUGUUUUGUUAGUACUAGAUAAUUUCUGUGGAAUUGCUUUAAAACAAUGAAAGCACUUCAUAUCUUUUUCUAUUUAUAGUGAGAAUGAAUGAUUCCAUUCACAUUCUUGCCAGUAAACUGAUUAAGCUGAGAGGAUUGGGCCAUAGGGAGAGACUAGUUACAGGAUUAAGGAGGUACUGUUUCUAUGUGUGGAAAAGGUCUUUGGAGUUCUUAAACUAUUUUCAGCCUCCAAAUCCUUGGAAUUGUAUGGGCAUCAUUUAAAGAGUGGAACUAAAAAAAAUUACUAGUCUAUAGUUGAAUUUUAAAAAAUGCUUCUUGUGUAUCUAAGUAUUUUACAUUUGUUUAAUAGCUCUGGUAUUCUUUUCAGUUAAGUUUUCUAGACUUUUAUAAAGAAAGAUAGUCUUCAAGAACUUAAUACAUUCCUCAAGGGGAAACAAAGGCUUAGAGCCAUGUGCGAGAAACUGAGUGUUCUGAAGUACCAGGUUAGGAUUUGACAAAAUGUCAGUAAGUGGAUGUUAAUGUACGUUACCCACCUGUCCUCUAAACUACAGAAUGCUUUUGACUAGAAUGGCUUAUAAGCAGACACCCAAAGUUCUUCCCCAUAAGGUUAAAUAAUGACAAAUAAUGUAAUUUCCAGUGUUUUGUAAAGUGUCAUUUUACGAUAACUGUCACUCUUUUAACUGUAUGGAAUGGAAUUAAGUGGCAUAGUGUUUUGAUGCCCAUCAUCUAUUUAAAAAAAGUGAACUAGCUCUCUCAUAGUCAAAGUUUUAGAGCGUAUUGCUAUUCUAUCCCCUACAGCAGUGGUUCUCAGUUAGGGACUGUUGCCUCCUAGGAACAGUGGGCACUAUCCGGAGACGUUUUUGGUACAUAACUAGGGAGUAGGGGUUACUGGCAUCUAGUGGGAAAAGGCCAGAUAUUGCAAAACAUCUUGCAUUGCUCAAAGCAACCCCAACAACAAAGAAUUAACCAGCCCAAAAUGUCAGUAGUGCUAUGCUAUUGAGAACCUUGACCUACAGAAUUCUACUCUUACGUAGUAUGGUUUUAGGUGAAAGUUUUAUUGGUUAUCAUUCUUUCCUGCAGCAAAAAAAAGUGCAUAUUUAAAUUUAUUGCAUAUCUUGUGAUCAAAAUGUUCUAAAUGUCAAUUCUGAAAAGAUCUUUUGUGUCAUUACAACUAUUACUAGUAUAUAGCUCAUCAAAAUAUAAAUAUUACAAUUGUGAAUAAUUAUAAAAAUUAAUAUUUGAUUGAAAUGUAUUUCUUAAUGAGAUUGGGCUCUUUGUCGUUUAGCUUAAGUUUCCAUGGAUGAUUAUUAUUUAUUGCUAGAAUCUGACAGAGUUCAACAUCAAUUCUUUUUCUCUUUUUCAUUUUUAGAGACAUAAAGACCAAAAACAUCUUGUUAAUUUAAGAUGAGAGGAAUAAGAAUAUUAAUAUAGCAAUUUCACUCUUUUUAUUCCUUCUGAGUUAUAUGCCAAAAGUUAUUUACUGACACUGAUGUAUCAGAAUAUUCUUAAUGACAUAUCAACUAGGUUUUCUGGUUUAGUUUGGUGUAGAAGCAAAUCCUUGGAAUCCCAAUUUGGAAAAUGGUUCCUUACCUGGUCAUUACUUUUCUCGAUAUUGACUGUUUAGUGCCCUGGCAGUUAUGUCCUAGAACAACGCACGGUACUAAGAUUCAGGAGGGGUAAGCGGUAUUGCUUUUGUAAGGGCCAAAAUGGCAAUUCUCUGUGUAUGCAGGUACUCAAAACAGUGUCUGAUUUAAGUGGUGGUUUAUUGAUCAUUGCUGGAUGGGUGAAUGGAUGAACAACUGAAGGAAUGAGUACUUUAGGAUUAAAUAUUAUCAUAAUAAUCCAAACUAGAAACAUGGCUGAUAGCAGGGAAGCUGGUGAGAACAGGUAUAUUCUGGAUGCAUUCUGAAGGCAAACCUAACAGAGCUUACUCCAGCUUUGGAUGUGAGGGAAAGGGGAGCAUCAGCUAUCACUGCAUGGUUUUUGUCUGAAACUGCUGGAAGAGUUAGCAUUUACCGAGGAGGGGGGACUGAGAGGAAGAGGAUGAGGAGGAUACAAUUCCCCCUGUCCGUUUUCUUCAGUGCCACAUUUGUGUUUCUAAGCUUAAUUUAGCUGUUGAAAUCUGUAGUUAUCUAUAGAAAUAGAAAUCAUAUUGUAUAUGACAUUCAGUCUAAUUAAAAAACCUACGCAGUCGUUUUUCCACAAAAUGAUAUUAUUCCCACCUUGUGUCUAACUUCAGUGCCUAAAAUUCAAGCACUUGACAAUGUUAAUUGUAGCUUUUCUAAGUAAUGUUAGUUAUCUGAUUUAUGUAUAUGAGAUGUACCUUAAGGACAGGUUUUAUAGGUAAAAACUGUUCCAUGUUUUAGUAGAAUUCUCAACACAUUUUAUUGUAUUUUAAAUCAAUAACUCUACACAUAGGUAUUUUUAGGACAGAUGUCAUAUCAAAUUAUUGGCUCCGUUGGAUGUAAAAAUAAACUUCUCAAACUUAUAAACACAAAAAUCAUAAUUUUGCUUGAGAUAAUUGAAUUAUAUAGUUUUCUGACUUGAUCAGAAUAAUGCAAAUUAGCUCAAAUGCAAUGGUAACAUUAUAAUUCAUGAUUAUUAAUUCAGAUUAACAUGCAGUGUUACAUAAAGUAUUCCACCUUGACUAGGCUAAUCCAGAGAGGCAUAUUUUUCUCUUAGUAAAUUUUUAAAACUUCUGGUUUUUUUCUAGUUCACUUCAGCAGAGAAAAUAUUGUAUGCAAAGACAAAAAAAUUAACACCAUUUCAAUGAGAGGUCACUUACAUAUUCCAUUGUGAAGACGUUUUCAAAAGUUAAUACAAAACAUGUACACCUGUCCUGUUUUCCUCCUAAGCCUCACAUUGCUAUGUCUCCUACCUCUCCGCAUCUGCUGGCUUGUACACAUGGUGUUCCUGUCUCCUCUGCUGGAUGAUGGCAGCUGCAGCCCACUGCUCUUCUCUCUAAGCAAGCAUGCCAGAAAGCUUGGAGAACCGCAGCUGCCCUUUUCAGAGCAAAAGGGCAGCUAAAGCUGGAUAGCUAAAGCUGGGACUUCUUACUAAGUAAGAUAUGAACAACUCCUGCCCACCACUGCAAUUCCCCAGUGUAUAAACAUCAGCUUCCACAAACUUAAGAUAUGCCUCCGAGGAGUCAGAGGAGCUUGUUCCAACCCUUGCUAUGGUUUGGUUUUUAUCACUGGCAUCAAAUCGUUCAGUUAUUUUCCUUGCAUUAAUAGGCUUCAUUUCUGUACAAGAAAAUGUCUUAAAUGAUCAUAGUUUGUCCGUCAUCGUUUCAAGUAAAAAUGGUUUGCCAUGACAAAAGCAGCUAUUUGAGCUUGCAACUCAAAAGACUUACAUGUGCUUUUUCUGAAGACACUGUAUUUUAGUAUGCAGAAGAAUUAAUUUACGUGUAUUUCCCAUUUGUCACACAAAAUGUUAAAGGGACAUGUACUCCAUAAAAUUAAUGGUUUUUACUAAGUUUUUUUAAGGACAUUCUUAAACUUUUUUUUUUCAUAACGUGUGGCAGGAAGAAUACAUUGACUUAAUUCAUGCUAGCAGUUUUACUCACCAUUGCUUUUGCACCAUCAAUGCAAAUGCUAAUGCAGGUGUUCCAAGAUAAACUAUGAAAUUCAAAAAGUUCAUUUACCACUUUGAUAUUUCAGCACAAGUUGUAUUUAAUGCCUGUCAUUCAAAUAAAAGAUCUUCUCUGAUGAUUAGUUGGUGCUGAUACCAGAUAGAUGUAGGCAAAACAGCUAGUCCAGCAAAAUCUGUAGGCCUGCCCAUUUUUUAAGGUAAAAUUACAAUUCUGCAGACGAGAUAUCAACCCAAUCUUCAUGAUUUCAGUUAAAUCUUUAAAGAGUUACUGUAUAUGUGGAAAAUUGAACUUACGUAAUUUAUUUUACUGACUUUUCAUCCAGCAGGUAUUGCGAUGUCAUCUGUAUACAGCUUCAUUCGUAUUUUUUAUGCUCCAGCCAAUGCAAUACAAUAAUUCAGUCUGUAAA
This is a non-coding RNA of Equus caballus (horse), 4051 nucleotides long. The record is from RefSeq and is a predicted model, not a curated record. Lineage: Eukaryota; Metazoa; Chordata; Mammalia; Perissodactyla; Equidae.